Ipomoea nil (Japanese morning glory) is the source of this 457-nucleotide long non-coding RNA. RefSeq lists it as uncharacterized. The record is from RefSeq and is a predicted model, not a curated record. The transcript is spliced from 2 exons. NCBI's taxonomy places the organism in Eukaryota, Viridiplantae, Streptophyta, Magnoliopsida, Solanales, Convolvulaceae.
AGGAAGGAGGAACUUUUUUACUGACAAAUUAAUCCACUUUUUAUCAGACAUAUAAUCCCAAUAUUCAGAAUGAGAUAACUUAGUCUAGAUAUCAAAAUCAUACCACAAAGAUAUACAUUAAUGUAUGAGAUAACUUAGUCUAGAUAUUAAAAAAAAAUAAAAAAUAAAAAAAUCACAUAUAUGGAUAUAAAUCAGAAAGUAACAAUUGCACGAAAUAUGUGAAGAACUAAAGCCUACACUUGAAAUGAGAUUUGACAAUACAUCUAUUUUCGGUUUUUAUUUAUCUUUUUAAUUUUUAAAGAUGCUGGAUGUCUGGGAAUGCAAGAUACUAGAUACCAUCUUCCAGAGUUCUGAAGCUUUGAAUGCAUAGGUCAGAUUUUUAUUUUUAUUUUUAAAAAAAUUGAGAAAAUGAAGAAUGCCAAUAGAGUGUGUUCAGAAAUUGAAAGUAAAGAAAAAA